Tachyglossus aculeatus (Australian echidna) is the source of this 1103-nucleotide long non-coding RNA. RefSeq lists it as uncharacterized. NCBI's taxonomy places the organism in Eukaryota, Metazoa, Chordata, Mammalia, Monotremata, Tachyglossidae. The record is from RefSeq and is a predicted model, not a curated record. The transcript is spliced from 6 exons.
CAAGGGAUUAUUCAUUCCCUGUGAAAAUCAGUCCAACAUGCCAUAUUUUAUCCUCGAUGAUUAUUGCUGUCUUGGUUAAUGGCCAGAUUUCCUUGGGAUCACAAACUGGGGUUCAGAUCUCCUUUUUCUCAUAUAAGAAACUGACCAUGCCCAUAUAAAGCUUGAUAAAGUUCUUUCAUAGCUUCGACCAACCACGACAUUAAGCUGAAUCAGAGUCUACCCACGUCUGCCGUACAAGCAAUCAAGUUUUCCGGAAAACUGAUGCAGCAUCUUAAAGUUUCCUUAAGUUCAGCAGAUGGUGGAGAGACACAAUGAAACACCAGUAACUUUCAACUUCCAACUGUGUAAAUCCUUGAGGAUGGAGACUGGAGAGCCAAGACAGCAGGGACAGAUGUGGCUUUGGCAUUGAAGUCAUGGCACAGGAGGAGCCGGCCAAUAGAAGGACCCAAAGUAUCCUCCAAAAGAAGCGAACGAUGCUCCAUUGGCAAAAAGUUGCAACAGUCAUAUGCUGUAGGCCUCCACCCAGUCCUGGCUGUUAAGUGAGUAACUUCCCCCACUUUCUUCCAAGAAUGGGGCCUCUCCCUCACGGCUCAUCAUCUUUUGCCUGAAUCCACCAGCAAUGCAGAUGGAAAAUCUGUAAGGCAGGAAAACUCCGAGGAAUGAAGCCGGUUCCUUGUAAAAGCAAGUGUCAAGUUGUGGGCUGAGGGCUUUUUCUGAGCCAGCGCUUCACAAAUACCACAAGCAUCUGAAGGGCUGGGAGAACAGCGUCAAUUAAACAAGGGGAUUUCUGGUUGGAAAUGCAUCAAGAUCAAAGACUGAUUGAAAGAUGAGACCGUAUACUGUGUGAAAACAGCGAAGGUUAAAGCAGAUCAACUGACUUGGCUGGACUUGGUUCUCUCAAUUGACUCAGAAGAAGGACAUCUGAAAUGGUGGUGGCCAUCUUGAGUAGGUCAAGAGACCGGUUGCUGCUCCUGCCUUGUUCCCUCCCUGAGGUGACACCUUUUCUUGCUUACUAUCAGAAGCUAGCUCCAUUUAAUACAAGAUGAAUCCUGGAACGCCAGAAACCCAAGAGCCAUGAUCUGGUAAUUCUCAGCAGGUAUUAU